UCACACACUCUGCCUACUGCACAUGCGCAAUCUCAUAAAUAAAUCCGACUUUAAUCAACUUAAUUAAGAUCUAUCAACAAAUUAUUCGAAGUUUUGGGUAAGUUAGAAUGUUUUUCACCAUCAUAAUGUAAUAAAAUAGGUUAUAUGACAAAUACUUAUGUUGCAUAUUUUGACAGUUAUCAGGUAUAGUUAAUUAAAUGUUUUAACGAAUUUCCUGGGUGUUUUAAUCGAUGUUGUUUCAAAUUACGUAUUAAUAUAACACUGAUAAGACACAAACUACAGUUCGGUAUGUAAUUUAACUUGUUUACACGAGUAAAAGUUACUCGCGCUAAUGUGCUAACGUGCUAACUGCCCGGUGCUACGUGAGUCAGAGGCCGGGGUGGAGUGCAUGAGCCGCGGUCAGACAGUCACCAAUCACCGGGCGGCUAAAUGGACCGACGGAGGAUAAAACCAUUAAAAGAUGCGGAGAAACACAUCACCAGCUCCACUGACAAGACCCAUUCACUGGAAACCGAAUAUAUAGAAGGUUACUAAGUUUUGCAGCAUUGAUGCCGAUCAUGAGGACGAUCUGCACCCUAACUGCACUGUCAAUAAGAUCGUUGUUCAGAGAAAACCUCAUUUGUGCCUUUUUGCAAUCAGGGAUAUUUUCUUUGGAGAGGAAAUAACGUUUGACUAUGGCGCAAGUGAUUGGCCUUGGAGAAAGUUUUGACAUUUUGAUCACUUAAUACAUUAAUCCUUAAUACAUUCAGCAAAGCUAAGAGUUUUUUAAUGUUAAUAUAAAUUAAGGGUAAAUCUGUUCAAAAAUAAAGAGUUUGCAUCAUCCUUAAGAGAAAUCAAUCUCUUAAUAUCUUCUUCUUGUCUUAAUGGGUAAAAAAGUUUAAUUAAUUGGGUAAUGCUUUACUUUAAAGGGGGGUUCAUAAGACUGUCAUGAAAGCUUUAUAGUCAUGACAUGACUUAUAUAACAAAGCUGUUUUUAAAUAGCUUUCAUUGAAGGAUGCCCAUAUGACUGCAGAAGAAAACUGCUCCGACAACUCACUGAUGAGCUUUUAUUGAAGUAUGAUCAUAUGACGAGAAGAAGAGAACUGCUCUGCUCCAGUAGGAGACCCACAACCCUCUGAUGAGGUUUGCUGAAGUAUGACCGUAUGACAGAAGGAGAGAACAGCUCUGCUCCAGUACGAGACCCACAACUCUGAUGAGCUUAUAUUGAAGGAUGACCAUAUGACAGGGGAAGAGAAC
Danio rerio (zebrafish) is the source of this 1236-nucleotide non-coding RNA. The record is from RefSeq and is a predicted model, not a curated record. NCBI's taxonomy places the organism in Eukaryota, Metazoa, Chordata, Actinopteri, Cypriniformes, Danionidae.